GUAUUCUAAGGCGCUUGAGAGAACUCGGGAGAAGGAACUCGGCAAAUUGACACCGUAACUUCGGAAGAAGGUGUGCCCUAUUAAUGUGAAGCGAACAGCGGAGCAUGAACGGGUUGCAAAGAAUCGGUGGCUGCGACUGUUUAUUAAAAACACAGCACUCUGCAAACACGAAAGUGGACGUAUAGGGUGUGACGCCUGCCCGGUGCUGGAAGAUUAAAUGAUGGGGUGCAAGCUCUUGAUUGAAGUCCCAGUAAACGGCGGCCGUAACGAUAACGGUCCUAAGGUAGCGAAAUUCCUUGUCGGGUAAGUUCCGACCUGCACGAAUGGCGUAACGAUGGCCACACUGUCUCCUCCCGAGACUCAGCGAAGUUGAAAUGUUUGUGAUGAUGCAAUCUCCCCGCGGAAAGACGGAAAGACCCCAUGAACCUUUACUGUAGCUUUGUAUUGGACUUUGAACAGAUCUGUGUAGGAUAGGUGGCAGGCUUUGAAGCAGGGUCGCUAGAUCUUGUGGAGCCAACGUUGAAAAACCACCCUGGUGUGUUUGAGGUUCUAACCUAGGUCCAUUAUCUGGAUCGGGGACCGUGCAUGGUAGGCAGUUUGACUGGGGCGGUCUCCUCCCAAAGCGUAACGGAGGAGUUCGAAGGUACGCUAGUUACGGUCGGACAUCGUGACGAUAGUGCAAUGGCAUAAGCGUGCUUAACUGCGAGACUGACAAGUCGAGCAGAUGCGAAAGCAGGACAUAGUGAUCCGGUGGUUCUGUAUGGAAGGGCCAUCGCUCAACGGAUAAAAGGUACUCUGGGGAUAACAGGCUGAUACCGCCCAAGAGUUCAUAUCGACGGCGGUGUUUGGCACCUCGAUGUCGGCUCAUCUCAUCCUGGGGCUGUAGCCGGUCCCAAGGGUAUGGCUGUUCGCCAUUUAAAGAGGUACGUGAGCUGGGUUUAAAACGUCGUGAGACAGUUUGGUCCCUAUCUUCCGUGGGCGCUGCAGAUUUGAGGAAGCCUGCUCCUAGUACGAGAGGACCGGAGUGGACACACCUCUGGUGUAUCGGUUGUCACGCCAGUGGCAUUGCCGAGUAGCUAUGUGUGGAAGAGAUAAACGCUGAAAGCAUCUAAGCGUGAAACUCGUUUCAAGAUGAGAUCUGCCGGGGCCUUGAGCCCCCUGAAGAGUCGUUCGAGACCAGGACGUUGAUAGGCAGGGUGUGGAAGCGCAGUAAUGCGUCAAGCUAACCUGUACUAAUUGCUCGUGUGGCUUGACCCG
This 1257-nucleotide ribosomal RNA is filed under the name metagenome. RNAcentral's name for it is "bacterial LSU rRNA". It matches the Rfam family "Bacterial large subunit ribosomal RNA", at positions 1676 to 2925 of the family's 2925-position model. The record is from RNAcentral.